AGCGAACGCUGGCGGCAGGCUUAACACAUGCAAGUCGAGCGCCCCGCAAGGGGAGCGGCAGACGGGUGAGUAACACGUGGGAACGUGCCCUUCAGUUCGGAACAACCCAGGGAAACUUGGGCUAAUACCGGAUACGUCCGAAAGGAGAAAGAUUUAGUCGCUGAAGGAUCGGCCCGCGUCUGAUUAGCUAGUUGGUGGGGUAAUGGCCCACCAAGGCUACGAUCAGUAGCUGGUCUGAGAGGAUGAUCAGCCACAUUGGGACUGAGACACGGCCCAAACUCCUACGGGAGGCAGCAGUGGGGAAUAUUGGACAAUGGGCGCAAGCCUGAUCCAGCCAUGCCGCGUGAGUGAUGAAGGCCCUAGGGUUGUAAAGCUCUUUUAGCGGGGAAGAUAAUGACGGUACCCGCAGAAAAAGCCCCGGCUAACUUCGUGCCAGCCGCCGCAGUAA
This 448-nucleotide ribosomal RNA is filed under the name uncultured bacterium. Its description in RNAcentral is "partial 16S ribosomal RNA". It matches the Rfam family "Bacterial small subunit ribosomal RNA", at positions 29 to 523 of the family's 1533-position model. The record is from RNAcentral.